RNAcentral lists this ribosomal RNA (416 nucleotides) under Acidimicrobiaceae bacterium. RNAcentral's name for it is "partial 23S ribosomal RNA". It matches the Rfam family "Bacterial large subunit ribosomal RNA", at positions 2511 to 2925 of the family's 2925-position model. The record is from RNAcentral. Lineage: Bacteria; Bacillati; Actinomycetota; Acidimicrobiia; Acidimicrobiales; Acidimicrobiaceae.
GGAAGGUUUGGCACCUCGAUGUCGGCUCAUCGCAUCCUGGGGCUGAAGCAGGUCCCAAGGGUUGGGCUGUUCGCCCAUUAAAGCGGUACGCGAGCUGGGUUUAGAACGUCGUGAGACAGUUCGGUCCCUAUCCUCUGUAGCUGUAGGAGAUUUGAGGAAAGCUGUCCGUAGUACGAGAGGACCCGGAUGGACGCAGCUCUCGUGUGCCAGUUGUUCCGCCAGGAGCACGGCUGGUUGGCGACCUGCGGAAGGGAUAAGCGCUGAAAGCAUCUAAGCGCGAAGCCUGUUCCAAGAUGAGAUCUCCCACUGGUACAACCAGGUAAGGCCCGUGGCAGAUAACCACGUUGAUAGGCCGGAUGUGUAAGCGCAGCAAUGCGUUCAGCAGACCGGUACUAAUCGGCCGAGGGCUUGGUAUC